UACGAAGGGGGCUAGCGUUGCUCGGAAUCACUGGGCGUAAAGGGUGCGUAGGCGGGUCUUUAAGUCAGGCGUGAAAGCCCCGGGCUCAACCUGGGAACCGCGCUUGAGACUGGCAUGCUCGAGUUCGGGAGAGGAUGGUGGAAUUCCCAGUGUAGAGGUGAAAUUCGUAGAUAUUGGGAAGAACACCGAUGGCGAAGGCAGCCAUCUGGACCGACACUGACGCUGAGGCGCGAAAGCGUGGGGAGCAAACAGG
This 253-nucleotide ribosomal RNA is filed under the name uncultured bacterium. RNAcentral's name for it is "partial 16S ribosomal RNA". It matches the Rfam family "Bacterial small subunit ribosomal RNA", at positions 524 to 776 of the family's 1533-position model. The record is from RNAcentral.